Chelonia mydas (Green sea turtle) is the source of this 157-nucleotide long non-coding RNA. RefSeq lists it as uncharacterized. The transcript is spliced from 3 exons. Lineage: Eukaryota; Metazoa; Chordata; Testudines; Cheloniidae. The record is from RefSeq and is a predicted model, not a curated record.
UUCAGAACGCUAUUCAUUUACUGAUUAACUUACUUCAUGGCUGAGUAGUCCUGCAGGGUCGUGCUGUACUAAUGACCAGAGCAGAGGAACUGAAUGCAAACCAAUCAGAAACACCCCUUGUGGAGCUCCGCCUGCAGAACUUCAACUUCCAGCCAUC